UACGUAGGUGGCAAGCGUUGUCCGGAUUUAUUGGGCUUAAAGGGUGCGUAGGCGGCCCUGUAAGUCAGUGCUGAAAUACCCCGGCUUAACCGGGGGGGUGGCAUUGAUACUGCAGGGCUUGAGUACAGAUGAGGUAGGCGGAAUUGACGGUGUAGCGGUGAAAUGCAUAGAUAUCGUCAAGAACACCGAUAGCGAAGGCAGCUUACUGGGCUGUAACUGACGCUGAUGCACGAAAGUGUGGGGAUCAAACAGG
Molecule: ribosomal RNA, 253 nt
Filed under: uncultured bacterium
Lineage: Bacteria
Description: partial 16S ribosomal RNA
Rfam family: Bacterial small subunit ribosomal RNA
Source: RNAcentral